GAGAGAGAGAGAGAGAGAGAGAGGAGACGGACGACAGACCGAAAAGAUCUCAGUGACUUCAGAACCUUAAAAAACCAACAUGGACACUAGAUCACACACACACGUUUAUAUAUAUAUAUACAUGUGUUAAAUAUAUAUAUAUAUAAGUGUUAAUGAAGCAUCCAUAAAGAACAUAAGAUCAUUUCCACAGUUUCACACAAAGUCUUUACUUGUGAAGAUCUUCAUGCUGUAAAUUACGGCCGGGCGAUACGUGAAAAAGUUUAUCAGGAUAUAUUUAUUUCCUAUCAGCUGAUAUCGAUCAAUAUCAGGAUCUAAAAAUCUAACAGUGUUUCUUGGUCUCAUGUCUUUUCCAACACAAUAAUCUCCUGCAUCUGUGAGGUCUUUGUGUCUCUUUGGCGUUUUGUCGUAAGGCGUCGCUCUAGAGAAAGCCGACUGAAUGGUCGUCUGUUUCAGGCGCCAUGGGCUCCUCGCUCCUCUCGGGGUUUGUAACCUUUUGCGUUGAGCCUUCAUGGUCAUUUCUGUCGGGGGUAGCACUCAUUUUCUUUGUUUCUCACCAACAGUGCUGUCGGCUUCACCUGUUAAAGUGCUAUGGUUGGGUGGAGCUGCUGUCUGCUACGACGCUGCAGUUGUAUCGUUGUUCUUAUCGUUUUUUCGCCCAACCCUAUUGUAAAUGCAGAGGGCGUUUUUACAAACCUGCUGCACACACACACACACACACACACACACACACACACACACAGUCAGGUGCAGCAGUGUUGUUGUUUUCAGACGGAGAGUCCAGGUAGGAGCGGCUGAAGGUGGAACUGAAAGACAGCAGAUGUUUCUGUGUCUGUGAGGACGCUCAUGUUGAUGCACAUACCUGAGGUUCUGCAGAGGGGAGGGGGGCGGAGAUCGGUCUGAAGGUCACUUUAAAUAAAAAGACUUCAGCAGGUAUGACAGGCAGGGCGUGCAGCUCACGAUAAAUGCAGCGCUCUCAUGCCAGCUCGCCAAAACUGAUUGAUUGACUUGUAAGAUGUCAGGGACAGGCCGGGGUGGGGGCAGGGUUAGGAGGAGGCAGGGUGAGAGAGGGAGGCAGGGUGAGAGAGGGAGGCAGGGCGAGAGAGGGAGGAAGGAUGACGGCGAGAAACAAUAUGGAAACCGUUGGAUGGAAGAUGACGGAAGAAAGCGUAUUUUUGUGUGGUUAUGAUGGCGGGCUGCUGGGAUUGAAAACACACACGGACACACACACACACACGGACACACACACACACACACAUGGACACACACACAGCUGGCCUGCUCUGGCCUGGUUCUGGUCAGUUGCCCGUGGCCAUGGCGGGCACAGGAGUCAGCUGUCAGCCUGUGACGGAUUGAUACAGACACCCCCCCAGCCCUCCGCCUCCCGCCCCAGACACUCCCAAACCUCCACCUCCAUCCCUCACUCCCUCCAGCGCCCCCGCCUCCUCCUCAUUGGCCGGUUCAUGCCUGGUGGGCAUGUUUGAGUGGAGACGUAUUGAGGGGGGAGCUGGGGGAGGAAGGGGGAGGUUGUGCCUCCAUCUUGAGUGUGGCGUGUAUUAGAACAUGCCCUCCUGUCACCCUCGCUCAGCCACUCUGCCGGCUUCAUAUUUGUUCGCCGUGGUCGCUGUGAGGCGGCGCUCUCUCUAUCACUUCAUCAGGUCAGCUGACAGCAGCCUGCUGGAGGUCUCUGUGAGCCUGAUGUCCUGUCCAAUCAGGAGCCCCCAUCUUCGUCCCUGCAGCCUUUUCACGCCCCUGUGGAUGAUCCUGCAGCAGCAUCUAGGAACAUGUAUGUCUAUAUUUCCAUCAGUGAGGUAAAAAAAAACGGUUUUAAAGGAGCAGUUCGCAGAUUUUUGGGUAAAGCUUUAGGGCUCAGAGGUUUUCUCUCUCACACAGAAAUCUCAGAUCAGACAUGAUCAUAAUCAUUAUCAUAUACACUCACCGGCCACUUUAUUAGGUACACCAUGCUAGUAACGGGUUGGACCCCCUUUUGCCUUCAGAACUGCCUCAAUUCUUCGUGGCAUAGAUUCAACAAGGUGCUGGAAGCAUUCCUCAGAGAGCUUGGUCCAUAUUGACAUGAUGGCAUCACACAGUUGCCGCAGAUUUGUCGGCUGCACAUCCAUGAUGCGAAUCUCCCGUUCCACCAAAUCCCAAAUAUGCUCUAUUGGAUUGAGAUCUGGUGACUGUGGAGGCCAUUUGAGUACAGUGAACUCAUUGUCAUGUUCAAGAAACCAGUCUGAGAUGAUUCCAGCUUUAUGACAUGGCGCAUUAUCCUGCUGAAAGUAGCCAUCAGAAGUUGGGUACAUUGUGGUCAUAAAGGGAUGGACAUGGUCAGCAACAAUACUCAGGUAGGCUGUGGCGUUGCAACGAUGCUCAAUUGGUACCAAGGGGCCCAAAGAGUGCCAAGAAAAUAUUCCCCACACCAUGACACCACCACCACCAGCCUGAACCGUUGAUACAAGGCAGGAUGGAUCCAUGCUUUCAUGUUGUUGACGCCAAAUUCUGACCCUACCAUCCGAAUGUCGCAGCAGAAAUCGAGACUCAUCAGACCAGGCAACGUUUUUCCAAUCUUCUAUUGUCCAAUUUCGAUGAGCUUGUGCAAAUUGUAGCCUCAGUUUCCUGUUCUUAGCUGAAAGGAGUGGCACCCGGCGUGGUCUUCUGCUGCUGUAGCACAUCUGCCUCAAAGUUCGACGUACUGUGCGUUCAGAGAUGCUCUUCUGCCUACCUUGGUUGUAACGGGUGGUUAUUUGAGUCACUGUUGCCUUUCUAUCAGCUCGAACCAGUCUGGCCAUUCUCCUCUGACCUCUGGCAUCAACAAGGCAUUUCCGCCCACAGAACUGCCGCUCACUGGAUAUUAUUUCUUUUUCGGACCAUUCUCUGUAAACCCUAGAGAUGGUUGUGCGUGAAAAUCCCAGUAGAUCAGCAGUUUCUGAAAUACUCAGACCAGCCCUUCUGGCACCAACAACCAUGCCACGUUCAAAGACCACGUGGUCUUUGUCGUGUCUGAACCUGGUUUUGGACUUUGAUGGUGUUUUCUUCUCCUCUGCUGUGAACGAUCAGUGAAGGAGUCGUGGUGCAUUCGAGGGAAAGCCGAAAAGUCAGAAAGCCGACUUCACUUCACCCACCAAUAACGCUAACAUAUGCUAGCAUGGAAGACCCCAAACCUGAGACCACUCCCCCUUUUUUCCCAUGAGGCCUGCUGAGCUGGUUGAUGAUCCCUGACCAGUUCCUGUCAGAUGUUUUGGUGGUCUACAUGUGACAGACAGGUACCGGCUAACGUGAACUCUGAUGGAGCUGGGAUAGAAAUGAGUGGACUGCUCCUUUAAGUACAGUUAUAGAGCGCCCCCUGCCCUCUGGUACAGGAACCUCGUUAAAGUAAAAAGUUUUCCUCCUAAACAAAAGUUGAACUCCAAACAUCACGUCUCACGCUGGAGUUCAGAUUUUCGUCUAAUUUCCUCCCAAACCUUCUCAGAUCUGAUCAGAUCUUCUGUCAGCGAGUUUCAGAUCCGCCUUAAAAGCUGAAACUAAAAUAACUGAUAGAUUGUUUUCCUCCAUUUUAGCUUCAGGCCAUAAUAAAAAACUACCUGGUUUAGUGUGAGAUAAAGAAGCUCAAACAUCAAUCUCCUCUGUCACAUAUCAACCAUCUCUCAACCCCCCAGCUUCUCAAACUUCAACUUUUCAUUAACCUUUGAUUUCGGUCACAGACCUGUCGUACCUCACACCACCAGCAGGGGUCUCUGUCAGGGGGCGGGACAAUUAAAAAAGUACGAAACAAGUACGAACAUAUCUGUGAUACGAUCGGAUUUAUCCGACCUCACUGUCAGGAGACAAAGUCGGGGGGGGGUUAGUGACGGGGGAGACUCUGUCGUCUCUCUCUCUCUCUCUCUCUCUCUCUCUCUCUCUCUCUCUCUCUCUCUCCCUCUCUCUCUCCCUCUCUUUCUCUCCCCCCCCCGUCCGGUGUGAAGUGUAAUUGAAGGAGCAGUCUUCACAUGGCCCACAGGCAUGGAGGGGACAUUGUGUGCGCUGUGGCGGUAAAUUGCUCUCCUUGCUCCUUGGAGCCUGUACCUCUCCUUCACUUCUCUCCUUCUCCUUCUCCUCCUCCUCCUCCU
RNAcentral lists this long non-coding RNA (4103 nucleotides) under Xyrichtys novacula (pearly razorfish). The record is from RNAcentral. Lineage: Eukaryota; Metazoa; Chordata; Actinopteri; Labriformes; Labridae.